Molecule: ribosomal RNA, 1436 nt
Filed under: Fusarium sp. QJC-1403
Lineage: Eukaryota; Fungi; Ascomycota; Sordariomycetes; Hypocreales; Nectriaceae
Description: eukaryotic LSU rRNA
Rfam family: Eukaryotic large subunit ribosomal RNA
Source: RNAcentral
UUGACCUCGGAUCAGGUAGGAAUACCCGCUGAACUUAAGCAUAUCAAUAAGCGGAGGAAAAGAAACCAACAGGGAUUGCCCUAGUAACGGCGAGUGAAGCGGCAACAGCUCAAAUUUGAAAUCUGGCUCUCGGGCCCGAGUUGUAAUUUGUAGAGGAUACUUUUGAUGCGGUGCCUUCCGAGUUCCCUGGAACGGGACGCCAUAGAGGGUGAGAGCCCCGUCUGGUUGGAUGCCAAAUCUCUGUAAAGUUCCUUCGACGAGUCGAGUAGUUUGGGAAUGCUGCUCUAAAUGGGAGGUAUAUGUCUUCUAAAGCUAAAUACCGGCCAGAGACCGAUAGCGCACAAGUAGAGUGAUCGAAAGAUGAAAAGCACUUUGAAAAGAGAGUUAAAAAGUACGUGAAAUUGUUGAAAGGGAAGCGUUUAUGACCAGACUUGGGCUUGGUUAAUCAUCUGGGGUUCUCCCCAGUGCACUUUUCCAGUCCAGGCCAGCAUCAGUUUUCCCCGGGGGAUAAAGACUUCGGGAAUGUGGCUCUCUUCGGGGAGUGUUAUAGCCCGUUGUGUAAUACCCUGGGGGGGACUGAGGUUCGCGCAUCUGCAAGGAUGCUGGCGUAAUGGUCAUCAACGACCCGUCUUGAAACACGGACCAAGGAGUCGUCUUCGUAUGCGAGUGUUCGGGUGUCAAACCCCUACGCGUAAUGAAAGUGAACGCAGGUGAGAGCUUCGGCGCAUCAUCGACCGAUCCUGAUGUUCUCGGAUGGAUUUGAGUAAGAGCAUACGGGGCCGGACCCGAAAGAAGGUGAACUAUGCCUGUAUAGGGUGAAGCCAGAGGAAACUCUGGUGGAGGCUCGCAGCGGUUCUGACGUGCAAAUCGAUCGUCAAAUAUGGGCAUGGGGGCGAAAGACUAAUCGAACCUUCUAGUAGCUGGUUUCCGCCGAAGUUUCCCUCAGGAUAGCAGUGUUGAACUCAGUUUUAUGAGGUAAAGCGAAUGAUUAGGGACUCGGGGACGCUAUUUAGCCUUCAUCCAUUCUCAAACUUUAAAUAUGUAAGAAGCUCUUGUUGCUUAAUUGAGCGUGAGCAUUCGAAUGUAUCAACACUAGUGGGCCAUUUUUGGUAAGCAGAACUGGCGAUGCGGGAUGAACCGAACGCGAGGUUAAGGUGCCAGAGUAGACGCUCAUCAGACACCACAAAAGGUGUUAGUACAUCUUGACAGCAGGACGGUGGCCAUGGAAGUCGGAAUCCGCUAAGGACUGUGUAACAACUCACCUGCCGAAUGUACUAGCCCUGAAAAUGGAUGGCGCUCAAGCGUCUCACCCAUACCUCGCCCUCAGGGUAGAAACGAUGCCCUGAGGAGUAGGCGGACGUGGAGGUCAGUGACGAAGCCUAGGGCGUGAGCCCGGGUUGAACGGCCUCUAGUGCAGAUCUUGGUGGUAGUAAAUC